UUAAACACCGUCUCCAUUACGAUCACUGCAGUUAAGUAACAUCGAGCCUGGUCAGUACCUAGAUGGAUGAGCGCUUGGGAAUACCAGGUGCUGUAAG
Acanthosepion pharaonis is the source of this 97-nucleotide non-coding RNA. The record is from the annotation of a GenBank genome assembly. Lineage: Eukaryota; Metazoa; Mollusca; Cephalopoda; Sepiida; Sepiidae.